CGGACGGGUGAGUAACACGUGGAUAACCUACCUAUAAGACUGGGAUAACUUCGGGAAACCGGAGCUAAUACCGGAUAAUAUAUUGAACCGCAUGGUUCAAUAGUGAAAGACGGUUUUGCUGUCACUUAUAGAUGGAUCCGCGCCGCAUUAGCUAGUUGGUAAGGUAACGGCUUACCAAGGCAACGAUGCGUAGCCGACCUGAGAGGGUGAUCGGCCACACUGGAACUGAGACACGGUCUAG
Molecule: ribosomal RNA, 241 nt
Filed under: uncultured Staphylococcus sp.
Lineage: Bacteria; Bacillati; Bacillota; Bacilli; Caryophanales; Staphylococcaceae
Description: partial 16S ribosomal RNA
Rfam family: Bacterial small subunit ribosomal RNA
Source: RNAcentral